AGCCUGAUGCAGCGACGCCGCGUGAGGGAUGACGGCCUUCGGGUUGUAAACCUCUUUUUACUGGGAAGAAGCGAAAGUGACGGUACCUGCAGAAGAAGCGCCGGCUAACUACGUGCCAGCAGCCGCGGUAAUACGUAGGGCGCGAGCGUUAUCCGGAAUUAUUGGGCGUAAAGAGCUCGUAGGCGGUUUGUCGCGUCUGCCGUGAAAGUCCGGGGCUUAACCCCGGAUCUGCGGUGGGUACGGGCAGACUGGAGUGCAGUAGGGGAGACUGGAAUUCCUGGUGUAGCGGUGAAAUGCGCAGAUAUCAGGAGGAACACCGAUGGCGAAGGCAGGUCUCUGGGCUGUUACUGACGCUGAGGAGCGAAAGCAUGGGGAGCGAACAGGAUUAGAUACCCUGGUAGUCCAUGCCGUAAACGUUGGGCACUAGGUGUGGGGGCCAUUCCACGGUUUCCGCGCCGCAGCUAACGCAUUAAGUGCCCCGCCUGGGGAGUACGGCCGCAAGGCUAAAACUCAAAGG
RNAcentral lists this ribosomal RNA (517 nucleotides) under Citricoccus yambaruensis. RNAcentral describes it as "bacterial SSU rRNA". It matches the Rfam family "Bacterial small subunit ribosomal RNA", at positions 380 to 907 of the family's 1533-position model. Lineage: Bacteria; Bacillati; Actinomycetota; Actinomycetes; Micrococcales; Micrococcaceae. The record is from RNAcentral.